Molecule: long non-coding RNA, 1158 nt
Organism: Gavialis gangeticus (Gharial)
Lineage: Eukaryota; Metazoa; Chordata; Crocodylia; Gavialidae
Exons: 3
Source: RefSeq, a predicted model, not a curated record
UGCCCCAGAAUGAAAAAGAGGAUCUCAGUUAUUAAGCAACAAAUUGUACAUCUGAAAUGAGCACAAGGCUGAUUACAGCCAUCAUAGGCAUCAUUCCCUUGAUGAGCUUUGCUUUUCUACAUUGUGAUACAAAUUCAUGAGAUGACUAUGAUCGUCAGACCACAGAUCCUAUGGAAAACCAUUUUCCUUUUUUGGAUGAAUUUUGUCACAGCAGGACUGAACUAUUUAAGUAGGACUGAACAAUCCAUUAGAAAUGAUCCUACAAAAACUUGCAUAUAUGCUGAACCUGAGGUAAUGUGAAUAGUUCUAUUGACUACAGUGGAACUACACAGGAUCUCUACAAUUGAGAUCUCUACAGGAUUGGGGGUUUACUUAGCAUACAAAAGAAAAUAUUAAAUUCUUAUUGAAAACUUUUGGUUUGACUUUCAGUAGAAUUGAAAUUGAUAUGAGAGGAGUCAGCAGUUACACUGCUGAAAGUAAAAGAAGAAUUGGGCCCUGUAUGUAUGUUUUAAAUCUUAAAUAUCUUGUUACUAGCCAGAAACUUUUAUUAUGUAAAAGCAAAUUCUUUUCCCACCACAUGUAAUCUGAAAUAGUUUAAUGAAAGUCUAAGUUUAAAAAAGCUAUUUUUAUUUUCAGGAAGUUACAGUUUAUAUGGUUUAAAAGUAUGAAUGCAUGAAAGAGCCCUGGGGUAACUAAGUCCAUAUCUGGAAACACAGUGGCUGAUUUUUCAUGCCAAUUACUGAUGUAGCAAAGCUGGCUUGGAAAAGUCAAAACUAAUCAUACACAUGCCUAAAACUUUCCAAGAGUUAAAUUUGUCUUAGUGGGCUACACACUAGUAUCUUUUCCUAAUUAUUUUGGCUUCAUCCUCAUUCUUUGAGUUAAUUAUUAAAUAAACAUUGCUAUUAUACCAAAGGACAAAUCAAGUCAAGUCAGUCCCAAGGCUCCACUGACUGUUGAGGCACCUUUGAUGUAGCAAUAACUUCCCUUCAUUCUUCCUGGUCUUUUGCAAUCCAUGUAUAAUCAGUCAGUUUUAAUCCCAUCCAGUCUUUGAUACUGGUGGUCCAUCUUGUCUUAGGUCUUCCCCUUCUUUUUUGUUUAUCUGCAGCACUUUGCAGGAUGAGUUGGUAAGGGUGCUGGGCAUUCUUGUUGCCUGUCCAA